GAUGCUAUGUAACCCAUACAGUUCUGGAAUGUAUUGGAUAACAGUGACAGCAUUAUGUCAGUGUUAUCCAAUAGAUUCCAGAACUGUAAGGGUUACAUAGCAUCAUAAAUCAAUAUAAGGCUGUGCGACCCCAGGAGUGCUGGAAAUUCAGGACGGGAGCAGCUCUGCGAGUCCGGAGUGUACCACUCGCUCGUCUGAACGGGGCCUUACUGUAUGCAAAACCCUGAAAAGGUGAUUUCUUUGUUAAUCCCAAGAUCUUGAACUGUUUCCCAAAGAGGAAGCCAGGAAUUAAGUGUAUUCCUGUAUUGAGAAGUUAUCCCCUAUCCAUUGGAUAGAGAACUGUCAGACUGGUGGGUGUUCAACCAUUAGGACCCCCAAGAUCAUGAGAAUGGUGGUCCCACGUCCCUGUUUGAAUGGAGUGGGGGCGUGGAAUCACCAUUCUCAUGAACUUUAAUACAUCAGUUUGUCAAGUUUGAGAUUUUAGUUUAGCCAAUUUGAAAAUAGAAUGGCAAAAUCUGCAUCCAAGCCCAAACUAUUUGCUUUUCUAUGUCAAGUCACUAUUUUGUUAGUCACAGAGAAUAUGUUUGUGCUUCCUACAGGUCAGUUGUGCUCAUAUAUUGACAUAAGGGUGCCUUCAUAUCUGGCGUAAUAGAGGAAAAAUCCACUGGAGAAAUUUACACCAUGUAUUCCUAUGAGUGGAGAUCUGCAAUGCAUACAUGGCUCCAACUUCUGCAUCCAGUUUUUCAACCAUGGAAUGUAUUUCCUCAGCUUUUUCUGUGUGUUGCCGAUUUCUGAUGUGCAAUUUCGCACCCAAAUCUGUAACACAAAACUGCAACAGUUUUUGCUGCAGCGAAAGCACCCUCUAUUACUAUCCAAGAAGACCCUAUGCAACAGAUCUCCAAAUGAUGGCUUCCUGGAGCUUGGUGAGUUUAACAUGGAGGGAAAAAGAAGAUACUGUGGUCAAGCCAUUUUUAUGACUCUGUACCACUUUAUUUUAAUUUUGAGUGAAAUAAAUACGGGUUAAAAUAGUAUAAAUCUCAUCUUUCAAACCCACCAUUGCUCCAGUGCUGACAGUUCUCUGGUUUCUUGCUGGUUCAUGCUUAGACCACUGCGGUGAUGAUGUCAUCUCAUCAUGUGAUCUAGGCAGCCAAUUGCUGACCAUAGUGGUGACAUGUCACCAUUGUAUCCAUUGAUUGGCUGCUGCAGUUGUGUGUUAAGAUGGCAUUUCAUUACCGCAGUGGAGUAGACGACGUCCAGCAGGGGAACAGGAAGAGCAUGAGAAAAGAGUAUGGAAGAGAAUAUGAACGGCAGAAA
Molecule: long non-coding RNA, 1314 nt
Organism: Bufo bufo (common toad)
Lineage: Eukaryota; Metazoa; Chordata; Amphibia; Anura; Bufonidae
Exons: 2
Source: RefSeq, a predicted model, not a curated record